GAUGAACGCUAGCGGCAGGCCUAAUACAUGCAAGUCGAACGAUAUUUUCCAGCUUGCUGGGAGAGAAAGUGGCGCACGGGUGCGUAACGCGUAUGCAACCUACCUUUAUCAGGGGGAUAGCCCGGAGAAAUCCGGAUUAAUACCGCAUAAAAUCACAGAACGGCAUUGUUCAAUGAUCAAACAUUUAUGGGAUAAAGAUGGGCAUGCGUGUCAUUAGCUAGUUGGCGGGGUAACGGCCCACCAAGGCGACGAUGACUAGGGGAUCUGAGAGGAUGGCCCCCCACACUGGUACUGAGACACGGACCAGACUCCUAGGGGGUGCAGCAGGAAGGAAUAUUGGUCAAUGGAGGCAACUCUGAACCCGCCAUGCCGCGUGCAGGAGGACCGCCCUAUGGGUUGUAAACUGCUUUUAUCCGGGAAUAAACCUCCGAUCGUGAUCGGAGCUGAAUGUACCGGAAGAAUAAGGAUCGGCUAACUCCGUGCCAGCCACCGCCGUAA
Molecule: ribosomal RNA, 498 nt
Filed under: uncultured bacterium
Lineage: Bacteria
Description: partial 16S ribosomal RNA
Rfam family: Bacterial small subunit ribosomal RNA
Source: RNAcentral